Molecule: non-coding RNA, 403 nt
Organism: Paramuricea clavata
Lineage: Eukaryota; Metazoa; Cnidaria; Anthozoa; Malacalcyonacea; Plexauridae
Source: the annotation of a GenBank genome assembly
UUUGAUUUCUUCAAUACUCAUAUUAUAUGCAUCAUGUCGAUCAUAUUUUACGCAUCUUUGCGUUCAGUUUGGUGCUGAGGCAUUCGGAUUCUAGCAGUGCGUUGUUUCAGUGGGGUUUUUUUUGGGACACCCUGUACAGUAUACUGUGAAUUAAAAGGUCUAUAUGUUAGGAAGAGGAGGGGCACCAUGCAAUGGACUUUACGUCCAUGGGGGUUUUUUUUGGGACACCCUGUACAGUAUACUGUGAAUUAAAAGGUCUAUAUGUCAGGAAGAGGAGGGGCACCAUGCAAUGGACUUUACGUCCAGUUUGUGCCUUAAUUGUCCGUUUGAGUACAGCUCUUUUAAUUGUAUGUUAGAUGAAUAUUUGUUAAAUUAAUUUGUACUCAAUAAAGUUUAAAAACAA